Long non-coding RNA from Lactuca sativa (garden lettuce), 1120 nucleotides. RefSeq lists it as uncharacterized. Lineage: Eukaryota; Viridiplantae; Streptophyta; Magnoliopsida; Asterales; Asteraceae. The record is from RefSeq and is a predicted model, not a curated record.
UAUAAUCCGGCUGCUAAGAUGAAAUCAAAAUUUUCAAAAUUCUUAUCUUUGAUUUUGUUCCUAAUUUCCUGAAAUUGAAAUUUCAAAUGCUGAUAGCAAGAAAUCAACGAUCAUCGAUAAAUCAGCACACUAAUAGCAAGAAAUCAGGAUUCAAUCUCCAAAUUUGAAUUGGCCUUUUGCCAACUUCGUAUAUAACUCGAACGCACGUUCAUCUCCAACAAAGCUAAGCAUCUCCUUCACGUUCGUCUCUCUUAUUUCAGUUAAGAUUCACUCAUGUGUCUCUAAUCUUCUAUUCUUAGUAUGCGUCCGGUCACGAUCUGAUUGUUGAUACUUCCUUUCCCCGCCCUGUCCAUCGUCUUCAUCAUUUUCAUUAAUUUUAAUUAGUUUUGCGUUAUGUCAUAUUGGAUUCAAUUUAAUCUUUUCUUUACUCCUCAAGAUUAUAUUCGUUCUUCAUGGGGUGAAAGCAAAAGGGGAGAUACUGCCUCGUAGGUUGCUAAAAAGAGAUUUUUUAUGGAAGUGGAGACUGUGUGAUAAUCCAAAGGGCCAUCUUUUGCAUAUGAUUUGCGUUCACCAAACAAUAGAAAAUCACUUGAUCUCGAUGUCCAAGAAUGCUUUUCAAGAUUUCAAUAAAAACGUUUGAUUUGUCUCUAAAGGCAAACGUGAUGGGGAAGACAAAAAUAGAGGCUCGACAAGUGUUACUUUUAGUUACAGGUAAUGCUUACAAGGUGUUCGUGUAAAUGCCUAAGAGAAGAACCUAAUUUUUAUCUUUUUCCACUGCUAAUAGUUCAUAUUAGUACAUGUUCUCUUUCCAUUUGCUGGUGAUUUUGGAUUGAAUAGGGAUGUUUGUACGUUGUAACUUUACUUCAAUCUUGACAGUUCUGUUAAACACCUUCUUCUUCACAUAUUUGGGUACGUGUGUAAACGCUUUAACUGUUUUUUUAAACAUUUAAUAUGUUUAUUUCUUACUGUUUUUUCAUCUUAGAGAUUAUAUGAGUUUAUUAGUGGGUAUACAAUUGUUUAGGCAUUUGCUUUGUUAAAUAUGUAAGCUUUCAUGUUACUUUUAUGUUACAACAAUCUGAUUAGUGCAUUAAGCUUAUAAAAUUGGUUAUUUUAUAUAUCA